This 865-nucleotide long non-coding RNA is filed under the name Mus musculus (house mouse). Its description in RNAcentral is "long non-coding RNA chr6:113616083-113616948". The record is from RNAcentral. Lineage: Eukaryota; Metazoa; Chordata; Mammalia; Rodentia; Muridae.
UGACCUAGAAGUGCGCCGCCGCGUUGCUGCUGGGAAGUUGCUGUACAGAACACUGCCGUGUGGGAAAGGCCCAGCAGCCUCCUGCUCCUCCUCUCUCCUUACAGAGCAACAGGGCUUUUUCUUGUUUUUCUUUUUUCAAAAGUGGCCUUUGGGCUCUGCUGUGUGCCCUGGGGUAUGACGUGGCAUGGGGGAGCAAGCAGUCCAGGGGACCUCUUGGAAACAGCAUUAGGCUUUUUCCCUUUUCAGUAACAUUGUUCGGAACUACUUGUCAAUGUGUUUGAGGUGUUGAGAGGCAAAGGCUGGGACUCUAAGGUCCUCCCCACCUCUCAAACUCUUUCUCUCAGACUUUCCCUACAGCUCCCAUGGCCUCUACACUGAUUUCUGUCAACAGUCGGCCUUCUCUCCACCUGUGAGAGGUGGAGGCAGUCCUGGCUGAGACUUGUGCCCUGCAGUGUGGUUGCCAGAAAAUGUUGUUGCUAACCCACCAGUUUCUUGUUCUGGGAGCUCAAAGCCAGGCCCCCAGUUGGCUUGAAGGGACAUUUUCAGUUUUCUUUGUGUCACUUGGGGUAUCAGUAGCUCUCAUGCUUCCCUAAUAAACUCAACUUUGUCUGACUGCUGUGACUGUGGUGGCAAGAGUGGCUGGAGAGGGUCUCCUUGUUGAGAGUCUGGUGGGCAAGAGUGCUCUCCAGCAGAAGAAACCUGCAGCCCUAGCUGGUUCAAAGCCUAGGCGGCUCUCCAGUCAGUGUUCCUGUCUGGACACUUGAACUAGUUCAGUCUGGAAUUACUUGGUCUUUCAGCAGAUAACUACCAAGGACUUUUACUAUAUAGGUGUGUUAGACUCCAAUAAAAGAUACAGUAUUGAAUC